AACGAACGCUGGCGGCAGGCUUAACACAUGCAAGUCGAACGGGCGUAGCAAUACGUCAGUGGCGGACGGGUGAGUAACACGUGGGAAUAUGCCUUUCGGUUCGGAACAACUCGGGGAAACCCGUGCUAAUUCCGGAUACGCCCUUACGGGGAAAGAUUUAUCGCCGAAGAUUAGCCGCGUUGGAUUAGCUAGUUGGUGAGGUAAAGGCUCACCAAGGCGACGAUCCAUAGCUGGUUU
This 237-nucleotide ribosomal RNA is filed under the name uncultured bacterium. RNAcentral's name for it is "partial 16S ribosomal RNA". It matches the Rfam family "Bacterial small subunit ribosomal RNA", at positions 29 to 293 of the family's 1533-position model. The record is from RNAcentral.